GAUAGGCUAAUUAAGGGCGUAUGGGGAAUGCCUUGGCUCUCAGAGGCGAUGAAGGACGUGAUAAGCUGCAAAAAGCUGCGGGGAGUGGCAAACACACUUUGAUCCGUAGAUAUCCGAAUGGGGAAACCCACUAUGUUGAAGACAUAGUACCUGAUUUAUCAGGAGCAAACCCAGGGAACUGAAACAUCUAAGUACCUGGGGGAGAAGAAAACAAAAGUGAUUCCGUUAGUAGUGGCGAGCGAAAGCGGAAUAGCCCAAACCUAUUUUGUUUUGGCAAAAUAGGGGUUGUAGGACCACAUUAUUUGAUGCUUAAUGAAUUAGAAUCUACUGGAAAGUAGUACCAUAGGGGGUGAUAGUCCCGUAUAA
This 366-nucleotide ribosomal RNA is filed under the name uncultured Flavobacteriaceae bacterium. RNAcentral's name for it is "bacterial LSU rRNA". It matches the Rfam family "Bacterial large subunit ribosomal RNA", at positions 1 to 380 of the family's 2925-position model. The record is from RNAcentral. Lineage: Bacteria; Pseudomonadati; Bacteroidota; Flavobacteriia; Flavobacteriales; Flavobacteriaceae.